ACCUAAUAGAUACCUGGUAGUCCACGCCCUAAACUAUGUCAACUAGUUGUUGGGAGAGUUAAAUCUCUUAGUAAACGCAGCUAAACGCGUGAAGUUGACCGCCUGGGGAGUACGGCCGCAAGGUUAAAACUCAAAGGAAUUGACGGGGACCCGCACAAGCGGUGGAUUAUGUGGAUUAAUUCGAUGCAACGCGAAAAACCUUACCUACCCUUGACAUGUACGGAACGGGGCAGAGACGUCCCGGUGCCCGAAAGGGAACCGUAACACAGGUGCUGCAUGGCUGUCGUCAGCUCGUGUCGUGAGAUGUUGGGUUAAGUCCCGCAACGAGCGCAACCCUUACCAUUAGUUGCUACAUUCAGUUGGGCACUCUAAUGGGACUGCCGGUGACAAACCGGAGGAAGGUGGGGAUGACGUCAAGUCCUCAUGGCCCUUAU
RNAcentral lists this ribosomal RNA (434 nucleotides) under uncultured bacterium. RNAcentral describes it as "bacterial SSU rRNA". It matches the Rfam family "Bacterial small subunit ribosomal RNA", at positions 771 to 1205 of the family's 1533-position model. The record is from RNAcentral.